GAAUGUCGUUGAUCAAAGCUCGUCCUUGUGGCGUGGCUCGGUUGAUGCUUCCUAUCAUUUGGAUGGUAGCAAUACUGUCCAAAUCAUUUACUUUGAAAAAAUUAGAGUGUUCAAAGCAGGCGUAACUUGCCAUUGAAUAUUACAGCAUGGGAUAAUAGAAUAUGACGUUGGUCUUAUUUUGUUGGUUUCUAAGGCUGAUGUA
Molecule: ribosomal RNA, 202 nt
Filed under: uncultured fungus
Lineage: Eukaryota; Fungi
Description: partial small subunit ribosomal RNA
Rfam family: Eukaryotic small subunit ribosomal RNA (bases 76-202)
Source: RNAcentral